RNAcentral lists this ribosomal RNA (492 nucleotides) under uncultured bacterium. RNAcentral's name for it is "partial 16S ribosomal RNA". It matches the Rfam family "Bacterial small subunit ribosomal RNA", at positions 29 to 507 of the family's 1533-position model. The record is from RNAcentral.
AGUGAACGCUGGCGGUAGGCCUAACACAUGCAAGUCGAACGGCAGCACAGUAAGAGCUUGCUCUUACGGGUGGCGAGUGGCGGACGGGUGAGGAAUACAUCGGAAUCUACUUUUUCGUGGGGGAUAACGUAGGGAAACUUACGCUAAUACCGCAUACGACCUACGGGUGAAAGCAGGGGAUCUUCGGACCUUGCGCGAUUGAAUGAGCCGAUGUCGGAUUAGCUAGUUGGCGGGGUAAAGGCCCACCAAGGCGACGAUCCGUAGCUGGUCUGAGAGGAUGAUCAGCCACACUGGAACUGAGACACGGUCCAGACUCCUACGGGAGGCAGCAGUGGGGAAUAUUGGACAAUGGGCGCAAGCCUGAUCCAGCCAUACCGCGUGGGUGAAGAAGGCCUUCGGGUUGUAAAGCCCUUUUGUUGGGACAGAAAAGCAGCAGGUUAAUACCCCGCUGUUCUGACGGUACCCAAAGAAUAAGCACCGGCUAACUUCGUG